Gadus macrocephalus (Pacific cod) is the source of this 1583-nucleotide long non-coding RNA. RefSeq lists it as uncharacterized. The record is from RefSeq and is a predicted model, not a curated record. The transcript is spliced from 2 exons. NCBI's taxonomy places the organism in Eukaryota, Metazoa, Chordata, Actinopteri, Gadiformes, Gadidae.
CCCCCCGCAUUAGGUGAUGUAGGUUCCUUCAUCCCCCUCCACCCUCCCCCCUCCUCGUUGGGGGGCGGGGGGGGGGGGGGGAGGAGCUGUGGGAUCUGGAUGUCUGGGGGGCACCAGCAGGACUCUACAGGAGAUCAGAACAUAGGGGGUCUCUAGUGGUCUCCAGGUCUCUAGUGGUCUCUAGUGGUCUCUAGUUCUCUAGGGGGGUCUCUAGUGGUCUCUAAUGGUCUCUAGUGGUCUCUAUUGGUCUCCAGGUCUCUUUUGGUCUCUAGUGGUCUCUAGUGGUCUCCAGGUCUCAAGCGGUCUCUAGUGGUCUCCAGUGGUCUCCAGGUCUCAAGCGGUCUCUAGGGGUCUCUAGUGGUCUCUAGUGGUCUCCAGGUCUCAAGCGGUCUCUAGCGGUCUCUAGUGGUCUCUAGUGGUCUCUAGUGGUCUCCAGGUCUCAAGCGGUCUCUAGGGGUCUCUGGUGGUCUCUGGUGGUCUCUAGUGGUCUCUAGUGGUCUCUGGUGGUCUCUAGGGGUCUCUAGGGGUCUCUGGUGGUCUCUGGUGGUCUCUAGUGGUCUCUAGUUGUCUCUAGUGGUCUCUGGUGGUCUCUAGCGGUCUCUAGCGGUCUCUAGUGGUCGCUAGUGGUCUCCAGGUCUCUGCUGGGCUCCAGGUCUCUUGUGGUCUUUAGUGGUCUCUAGAAUCUCAGAAAAGAUAAAAAAAGAUUUCUGUAAACUUGUUUGCUUCUCUUUCUUUACUUCUGUUUUUGAGUUGUCAUGGAGUGGAUUAAACCGUAUCUUUAUAGUUAUGACGUGAACCCAAAAGAUAACGACAUUGAAUAAAUAUUUUAUUUUUGACCAUUUUAAAGAGAUACUGUAUGGAUUAAUUUAUGUACUUUGAUUGCAGGAUCCAGCCCCCUGAAUAAAUAUAUAAAAAGUAAAAAGUAAAGUAAAGAGAAGACUAUCGGGCCUUGUUUGUUUUGCAGGGAGUUUGUGGAUCUUAGUGCAGUGUUUUCUAAUGCUGUCGAUGUGUUAACUCUUUUGAACGUGGGUCCCUUCAGAAUAUGUGAAUCUUGACGCCUCGGUCCUGGGCUGUGUUGGAAUUGGCUGAGGGUGGGUUCCCCCUGUACGGUGGACACUGUACAAGGAAAACUGCUCACUGUACAGGGGUACGGGGAUCCACACCCUCAUGAGCUCCAGAAGCCAGGCUCUGUGGUAGGAACACAGGCUGUGACCGCCGCAUUACGGGGGAAUGAAAGCGCUAUGCAUCAUGGGAGAUAGUGCUGAAGUGUGCAUCAGGUUUGCACUUAUUUGUGGGUAUUAAGUAGUGCACGAUGUCGGGCCCAAGUGAGCCAGUUCCUACACAGCCUGGAGUUCUGGUUUUCUAACCUUUGACCUUUCACCCCACUUGUCAGCCUCCAUGUUGAGUCACAGGACACUGUACAGGACAUGAAAUGGACGCCUUUGUUGUGGUCGUGUUGCUGUUUCUCUGGUGCUCUGAGGAAACAGAGAGUGGGUUUCUGUGGUCGACCCGAAUAAGGGAAGAAAAUGACAUGUCUGUCUUUUGCACUAAUUUAAUAAAGGCGUUACUGAAAGAAGAACAAA